Molecule: long non-coding RNA, 202 nt
Filed under: Elaeis guineensis (African oil palm)
Lineage: Eukaryota; Viridiplantae; Streptophyta; Magnoliopsida; Arecales; Arecaceae
Description: long non-coding RNA (EGUI_LNC078403)
Source: RNAcentral
UCCACCAUCCUUUGAUCUCCACAAUAAAUUCCAACCAUCCAUCCUUAAGAAACCCUAGCCAUCCAUUCUUAAAUCAUUUGCCCCACAUUGCCUAACCAAAUAAACUUCCUACCUUAUGGCACCUAUAAAUAAGUCUCAACACCUCUACCUAAAGGCAUUCAAUCAUCCAAUAAACCCAAACCUGUACUCUAAUGUUGUAGUG